UAACAGUGAAAUGUUUACUUACAGGCCCUUCCCAACAAUGUAGAGAGAAAAAAAGAGAAAUAAUAUAAAAAUAAUAACACGAGGAAUAAAUACACAAUGAGUAAUGACAACAUGGCUAUAUACACGGGGUACCAGUACCGAGUCCAUGUGCAGCGGUAUGAGGUAAUGCAGGUAGAUAUAUACAUAUAUGUAGAGAUAAAGUGAGUAGGCAACAGGAUAGAUAAUAGACAGUAGCAGCAGCAUAUGUGAUGAGAUAGUGCAAAAAGGGUGAAUGCAGAGAGGGUAGAUAUUGGUCAACUAUUUUAUCUAACUAUUUAGCAGUUUGGGGGGUAGAAGCUGUUCUGGAUCCUGUUAGUUCCAGACUUAGUGCAUCGGUACCGCUUGCCAUGCGGUAGCAGAGAGAACAGUCUAUAACUUGGGUGGCUGGAGUCUUUGAAAAUGUUGAGGGCCUAUAGGUCUUAAGGCUAGGGUUAUGUCUUAAGACUAGAGUUAGGUCUUAAGACUAGGGUUAAGUCUUAGGACUAGGGUUAGGUCACAUGGCUAGGGUUAGGUCUUAAGGCUAGGGCUAGGGUUAGGUCUUAAGGCUAGGGCUAGGGUUAGGUCUUAAGGCUAGGGUGAGGGCUAGGUCUUAAGGCUAGGGCUAGGGCUAGGUCUUAAGGCUAGGGAUAGGGCUAGGGUUAGGUCUUAGGGCUAGGGUUAGGACUAGGUCUUAAGGCUAGGGUUAGGACUAGGGUUAGGUCUUAAGGCUAGGGUUAAGGCUUAAGGCUAGGGUUAGGUUUAAGGCUAGGGUUAGGACUAAGGUUAGGUCUUAAGGCUAGGGUUAGGUCUUAAGGCUAUGGUUAGGUUUUAAGGCUAGGGUUAGGUCUUAAGGCUGGGGUUAGGUCUUAAGGCUAGGGUUAGGGCUAGGUCUUAAGGCUAGGGUUAAGGCUUAAGGCUAGGGUUAGGUUUAAGGCUAGGGUUAGGACUAAGGUUAGGUCUUAAGGCUAGGGUUAGGUCUUAAGGCUAUGGUUAGGUUUUAAGGCUAGGGUUAGGUCUUAGGGAUAGGGUUAGGUUUUACGGCUAGGGUUAGGUCUUAAGGCUAGGGCUGGGGUUAAGGCUAGGGUUAGGUCUUAAGGCUAGAGUUAGGUUUUACGGCUAGGGUUAGGUCUUAAGGCUAGGGUUGGGGCUAGGUCGGCUAGGGUUAGGUCUUAAGGCUAGGGUUAAGUCUUAAGGCUAGGGUUAGGGGUUAAGGCUAGGGUUAGGUCUUAAGGCUAGGGCUGGGGUUAAGGCUAGGGUUAGGUCUUAAGGCUAGAGUUAGGUUUUACGGCUAGGGUUAGGUCUUAAGGCUAGGGUUGGGGCUAGGUCGGCUAGGGUUAGGUCUUACGGCUAGGGUUAAGUCUUAAGGCUAGGGUUAGGGUUAAGGCUAGGGUUAGGUCUUAAGGCUAGGGUUAGGGUUAAGGCUAGGGUUAGGUCUUAAGGCUAGAGUUAGGUUUUACGGCUAGGGUUAGGUCUUAAGGCUAGGGUUGGGGCUAGGUCGUAAGGCUAGGGUUAGGUCUUAAGGCUAGGGUUAAGUCUUAAGGCUAGGGUUAGGGUUAAGGCUAGGGUUAGGUCUUGAGGCUAGGGUUAGGUCUUGAGGCUAGGGUUGGGUCUUGAGGCUAGGGUUAGGUCUUGAGGCUAGGGUUAGGUCUUGAGGCUAGGGUUAGGUCUUGAGGCGAGGGUUGGGUCUUGAGGCUAGGGUUAGGUCUUGAGGCGAGGGUUGGGUCUUAAGGCUAGGGUUAGGUCUUAAGGCUAGGGCUGGGUCUUAAGGCUAGGGCUAGGGUUAAGGCUAGGGUUAGGUCUUAAGGCUAGGGCUAGGGUUAAGGCUAGGGUUAGGUCUUAAGGCUAGGGCUGGGGUUAAGGCUAGGGUUGGGUCUUGAGGCUAGGGUUAAGGCUUGCAAAGCUCCGCCAAAUACAGCACUAGAGCUGUGAUGUACUUUAGUAAAACACCCAGUCUCUAUAACUGCCUCUGAGUAGUCACAACUGUGGUCUUCAAACUGAACUAAACUAAGUCCCAUCAAAAGGAAGUAUACUUAGACUGAGAGGGAAGGUAACUGACCAACUCAUUUCCAUUAAGUGAUUCAUUGGUGGGGUAGCCUAUAUUUAGUCUAUACUGAGUGUAUAUUUAGGUUUUCACAGUUCGUAAUACUCUACUCUUUAUCACUUCCACGGUCAUUUCAGGUUCCUUCCUCUCAACUCCUACAUUGCCAAGCGCUCCACACACACACACGCAGACCAACCCACUGGUCCCCUACGCCCCAACACACAUCUCAUCCGGGAUAGAUCCUGAUUGGUUUUCCUCUCUGUGAGUAUUGUCUGUAAUUGAGUUUGACAGUGGAAGCCUGCAUGUCCUGUAGCUAUGUUAAACGCCCAAUUUACAUCUUCAUUUACAAUUCUACAUGGAUAAAAACCAAUUAAUUACACCAGACCGGGAAAGAGAUUCCAGUCAUGGAUUUUUCCCCGUUUUGUAUUUUAAUUUUGUCUUCCGGGCAAAUGACAAGGAAUUGUUUUACUAGAGCUUAGUAGUUUAAGUACAGAGAAGAGUCCAGACAUCACAAGUAAUGGAAUGCAUCCUUUGUUAAACCUACAGCUACUCUACUGACUAUGGUAUUGAAUAAAAUAUGGCUGUUAUUAAGUACCCAUGUAAACUAAAUACAUACUGAAAAUAUUAUAGUGAAUUGCCUAUGGCCAAGGUAAGUAGAAAAUCAUGUUAGGUGGUUUUUGAGUGUACAAGCCUUUAACUGCAUGGCCAAUUUCAUUAGCCUACAUGUAAAUAACUCAAAUCAAUGUCUGGAAGCAAAACAAAUGAGAGGAUUACUAAAGUUUUUCUG
This 2846-nucleotide long non-coding RNA is filed under the name Salmo salar (Atlantic salmon). RNAcentral's name for it is "lncRNA (ENSSSAG00000110060.1)". Lineage: Eukaryota; Metazoa; Chordata; Actinopteri; Salmoniformes; Salmonidae. The record is from RNAcentral.